GUUUUUGGGUGAUGAGAACAUAUAUAUUACAGUUAUCCCUGGCUGAUUAAUUGUGAUGACAAUAUGUGAUCUGACAUAAAC
Small nucleolar RNA from Mangifera indica (mango), 81 nucleotides. RefSeq annotates it as small nucleolar RNA R38. The transcript has a single exon. NCBI's taxonomy places the organism in Eukaryota, Viridiplantae, Streptophyta, Magnoliopsida, Sapindales, Anacardiaceae. The record is from RefSeq and is a predicted model, not a curated record.